GAAAGUUCUAAGUGAGCAGAAACAAGCUUUUCCCCCUUUUUCUUUAACUUAACUAGGCCCGGGUUAGUUUUGGUUUGCUCCGUUAGCGUACCCCCUUUCCUUUUGAAGCCUUCUGGGCAGGGCAGUAGCUCAAAGUGGAAUAAACGCAGCUGGGGUUAUUAAAGAAGCUUUAUCCGGAAUUCAUUUGAGGUAAUUCUUGCUGAUUUGUUUUUUCAAUUUUGUUCUGUCUGUAGCUUUCUUUUUUUUAAAAAAAAUUGAAUUUUGCUGAAAUUUUAAUGCAGAUUUGUAAAAUUUUCACCAAAUGAGGAGAUUCUGCACUUACUUAUUUGCUAGAAAAAAUUCAUGCUAUUCAAAUGUUAUAAGUACAUUGGUUCCUCUCACUGUCACUGUCACUCACUCUUCAACUCAUCAUCACCAACUACGAUCAUCAGUAACAGUCCCAUCUUUCAGUUUGUCGCCACCCACUUUUUCAGUUUCUUCGCAAUUGGAUUGCAAUGUUAGUAGUGAUGUUAGAUACUGCAGUUCCAGUUCUGUGAGUGAUGUUGCUAAGUUGUACGAAGCUAUUAUCGAUAAUUCAAAUGCAUAUGAUAAUAUGGAGAAGGCACUUGACAGUCUUGGUGUUCCGCUGACUACUGAUUCCGUUGUUGGGGUCCUUCAAAGGUUUCAAUUUGAGGAGAAAAUAGCGUUCAGAUUCUUUAUGUGGGCUGGUCAUCAGGAUAACUAUGCCCACGAGCCUCUGGCGUAUAAUCUUAUGAUUGAUAUUUUGUCUAGUACUAAGUAUAAGGCCAAGCAAUUUCGAUUAGUUUGUAGUAUGCUGGACUACAUGAAGAGGAAUAACAAGGUUUUUGUUCCCGUUGAUGUUUUGCUAAUGAUUUUGAAACAAUAUACUGAGAAGUACAUGACCAGUGUUCAGAAAUUUGCUACGAAAAAAAGGAUUAAAGUGAAGACACAGCCGGAGAUCAAUGCCCUUAACUUGCUCUUGGAUGCUUUAUGUAAGUGUGGUUUGGUUGAUUAUGCCGAGACCAUAUGUAAGAGGGUCAAGAACAAAGUUAAACCCAAUGCUAAUACCUAUAACAUUUUGUUUUUUGGGUGGUGUAGGGUUAGAAAUCCAAAUAGAGGAAUGCAGACGCUUGAAGAAAUGAUCCAAAUGGGUCAUGCUCCUGAUAAUUUUACGUAUAACACUGCCAUUGAUACCUUUUGCAAAGCGAGGAUGGUGACAGAAGCGGCUGAUCUUUUUGAGUUCAUGAGAACAAAAGGUUCGACCAUCUCUUCGCCAACUGCAAAAACCUAUGCAAUCAUGAUUGUGGCCCUUGUACAGAAUGAUAGAAUGGAGGAAUGCUUUUCACUUUUGGGACAUAUGAUAAACAGCGGUUGCCUUCCUGAUGUUUCAACAUACAAGGAAGUACUUGAAGGGAUGUGUCUGGCUGGAAAGGUUGAGGAAGCUUACAAGUUCUUGGAAGAGAUGGGCAAUAAAGGUUACCCUCCUGAUAUAGUUACUUAUAACUGUUUUCUUAAGGUCCUAUGUGAUAACAAAAACGGUGAUGAAGCGCUUAGGCUUUAUGGAAGAAUGAUCGAAGUGGGUUGUUGGCCAAGUGUGCAAACUUAUAAUAUGCUGAUUUCAAUGUGUUUUGAACUGGGUGAACCUGAUGGGGCAUUUGAGACCUGGCAUGAGAUGGAUAAAAGGGGUUGUGCUCAGGACGUUGAUACUUACUGUGUGAUGAUUGAUGGGCUUUUUGAUUGCAGUAAAGUGGAAGAAGCUUGCUUUCUGUUGGAAGAGGUUGUAAACAAGGGAUUGAAAUUGCCGUAUCGGAAGUUUGACUCCUAUCUGAUGCAGCUUUCUGUGAUUGGUGAUCUUGGAGCAAUCCACAAACUUUCAGAUCAUAUGAGGAAGUUUUACAACCCUGUUAUAGCAAGACGUUUAGCACUGAAUCAAAAGAGGGUUAGAAUAAGCUUAAGAGAGAAGUAGGAAGAUAGAAAUUUAGAAUGAAGAACAUGAAUGAAUCAACGAGAAUAUAUGUACGCACCCUGAUUGACAUUCAUUCAUUUGUACAGCUGUGAUUAAUAUGUUCAGAGGAUGUACAUUCUCAGGUAUUUGAUGUAAAACCAAUGCGAACGAGAGAAAAAACCAGAAUUUUUGUGUAAUGUUAGUGUUUUUGAUUAGCAUAGAUUUCAGAUAGGUUCACAGCUUUAUUGUUUAUGAGUUAUUGAAUUUGCCAGCUCUAAUUGUGAUUUUUUUUUGGGAAAAUGGCCUUAUGAUUAGUGUGUAAUUUUUUUUUCAACAAAUUUAACUUAAGUAGUUGUUGAAGCAGUAUUUUCGUUUGGAAAGAAUUUGACUGCUGUAGGAGAGAGAAACUUAAGAAAGGACUCUUGCUAGUGCGAGCUCUGGAGAACAUUUUUGUUUCUGUAGCUGUGUUGCAUAUGCAUGUAAUUUGAUUUAAAUUUCCCUGACCAAGUUUUGGUUUAUCUAAUUAUUCAUGUUGCUGCAGACUUAUCCAUGUGGCUGGCAGGAUAGACUAGGCCCUCCUUUGUAGUGCUGUUAUAUUUUCCAUAUUUCUAACAUGCAACUUUGUGACCUUGCAGUUAUAGAUGAUAGAUUUAUCCAAACAAAGUGAUAGGCAUGGGAUCCAUUUAUGGAUUUUGGAGGCAACUAGAAAGGAACGGUAUAUAGCCAAGCAAAGAUAUAUCAAAUGUUUGUCAACGAAAUGUUAUGUAGUCUCCAGCUUAAGAAUCGGUGAGUCAAAAUCUUGGAUACCAAAUAUUGCUGCUGCCAAUGUUUUGCACAUCAAAUUCAAUCUUUUAUAUAAAUUUUGCACACUUGUCGUUAGUUCUUUGUGGUUUUUGUUUCUAUAGGUUUAUAAGAAGUUUGUUUUAUAAGUGAUAAUGGGUGAUCUGAAAUAUGGGGGGAUAUGUGUUGACACCACCGUUUUGUGUUUUAUAAGUUUGUUUUAGUAUUCUUGCUCAAAUUUGUGUUUCCAAUAUUAUUGGGAUUGAAGGUACUGCCUUGAUUUCCAGAGUUGGUAGGACGCUGACCUUGGCUUCCUUUAUUGUUUUGGAAGUUCUUCGCGUCAAAUUGAUUACCAUUUUUUGAGGGAGAGAAGCAGGUAACAUUAGUGAUGAUAUUUCUAAGAUUUUCAGUAGAGCAAAGUUCCUCUCGUUUGAGAAAUGCUUCAUAUUUGUCAAGUUUGUUGUGAAGUUCAUCAAAGCUGAUCAUAUCUCUCACGGCAGUUGCAAGUUCCUUGAAUUGAGGACCCACCCGGUUGAGAGUGUGAGUAAUGAGGUAUUGAUCCAGAAAAGGUGCUCCAAUUAAAACCAAUUUAUCAGCAAGAUAUUCGACUACUGGUUGUGAACCUUGACUGAUGAGGC
Molecule: long non-coding RNA, 3363 nt
Filed under: Citrus maxima (pomelo)
Lineage: Eukaryota; Viridiplantae; Streptophyta; Magnoliopsida; Sapindales; Rutaceae
Description: long non-coding RNA (CMAX_LNC002209)
Source: RNAcentral